CUUCGAGUCACUGCGUCGGAGGCAUACGUCGGAAGUGCCGCGUCGGCGGUACGCGAAAUGGUUGGGAUAUCGCCACUCAUCAGUUCUAAUUACUUCCGUUCACCGAAGCCGGAGGGUACGACGAUCGUACGUAGUAGUAGUAUAGCUUUUGAAGAUCAAUCGCAGCCUGCUUCUACGACUACGUACGUCUUACUUGUUCCUCUUGAAUCUCUGAACGGUAUCGCGGAGAUAUGAUGAGGCUGCAUAAACGACUUCACACCGUGAUCAAUAUACUGUCAACCGACCCUAAUCAAGUCAUCUGCCCCUUGAGACGCGGUUAUCAAAAAGAAUCGAAUAUCAAGCAAAGUUCCCUUUGGCCAAUGGUCGCGCCAACAGCUGACUGGAAUGAACUAUGCAGGGGGCGCUGCGUAGAAGGGAUUACCGACGUGGCACAUGGAAGUUCGAAUCAGCGUUAUUAACAAUCAGAGCUUGGGCUUAUGACAAUAAUGCCGUGAAUGCACCGCUGUCAUCUGCUGAUGAUCUAUAUAGACGUUCUUUUUUUGUGGGAUUGUUACGUCACAAGACACGCAAAGAAAGAUAUUAACAACAUACAAACGAAAACAAUUCGAUUCGAAGGUAAAGAAAUCAAGGUUAAGAUAACGGGCAAAAGCCACAAUUCAAACUCCGGAUGAUAUCGCUUUAGGUACUUUGGCCCCUUGCGCCGCUCUCAGCAAUCUCGGUUCGGUAGAUAUUGGUCCAACAAUGUUCUGUUGGUUACGCCUGAGGCUGCAAAAGAAGAUCUUAGAUUGGACGGCUUGGAGCUAGUGGGGCUAUGCCCUCUGGGUUUGAAAGAUAAUGGCGAUGGCGAAUGUGAGGUUGAAGAGUAGAAUGAAUGAGGAGUUCGGAGCAGAGCUGCUUUAUUCAAUCUUGGUGUCUGCCAACGACUGUCAGAAAUCUAUGGAAAGGAAUUAAGGUCUCAAGGCUCACAAUACAAGGUGUGCCCAAACUUUUAAGUGACGUAAUUUCGGAUCUUCGAGGAAGCCUAGGCUUAACUCCUUCAUCCCCUCCCUUCUCGUUUACUUUCUCGCUAUGUCCAGCAAGCGACAUUGAUUGCCUCGCGAAAGGAACACUCGAGACUGACUGGGGAGGUUUGAUACCCG
Molecule: small RNA, 1139 nt
Filed under: Cryptococcus neoformans H99
Lineage: Eukaryota; Fungi; Basidiomycota; Tremellomycetes; Tremellales; Cryptococcaceae
Description: Cryptococcus neoformans var. grubii H99 hypothetical RNA
Source: RNAcentral